UGGGUGAUCUGCCCUGCACUUCGGGAUAAGCCUGGGAAACCGGGUCUAAUACCGGAUAUGAUCAUGCGCCUCCUGGUGUGUGGUGGAAAGCUUUUGCGGUGUGGGAUGGGCCCGCGGCCUAUCAGCUUGUUGGUGGGGUAAUGGCCUACCAAGGCGUCGACGGGUAGCCGGCCUGAGAGGGUGUCCGGCCACACUGGGACUGAGAUACGGCCCAGACUCCGUACGGGAGCA
RNAcentral lists this ribosomal RNA (231 nucleotides) under uncultured bacterium. RNAcentral describes it as "partial 16S ribosomal RNA". It matches the Rfam family "Bacterial small subunit ribosomal RNA", at positions 118 to 347 of the family's 1533-position model. The record is from RNAcentral.